UCUUCAGCUGUUGCCCUGACGAUUUGACUUUUACGAUUCACGUAAUUUUUGCAAUCAUUAAAUGUUCGUUGAAGGAGCAUUCCAUAAAACUGGAAUAGCUCAUGUGAGAUGGCGUGAUCGGUCAUGAAGAUAGGGAAAACCAGGCCACCAGGCAUUUUCCUUCAAAAUUGAAAGGCCUAGGCUUCAGUUUUGGUGGCAGUGCCACCUACUGUUAUAGUUUGUCAAAUAGGCCAAAUUCGAAAAGAACACGUUGGGAUUUAGACUGACAAACACUUGAUGUGUUAAGUGAGAUCAUACAUCAAUAACAAAACUGGCAUGGACAAUGCUUCGUGCCACUAUUUAAGUACUCUUGUUGACUCUGAGCCAAAGGCAAACAGAAACACAAUCCACUUCAUGGGAAGUUGUAAAAACCUUGCUUAUUCUUGAGUGGGAAGAGGAGAAACUUACAUACUUGGAAAACUGUCAAAAAAACACUUUUGUUGAGUAUUCAUAAUUUAAAUGGAUUUAUGGAUUGCUAAAUGAAGAAUAAUGGUGUUUGUAUUGAGCCAUUAUUUUUUGCUUGUUCUGACAGAAAUGUAAUAACACUUAAAUUAAAACUUAACAUUGCCAGGAGAGGAUUUCAUUUUGUUAUCAAAAUAUUGUUUUUAAGUACUUACCCUAAUUUUCCUGUAACCUCGCGGACGUAACUUUUGGUUACAGUUUAUUAAGAGGAUAUCACUUGAUGAUACCCGGGAAAAGCAAUGACUACUAAGACGGAAAAGCACAGUACACCGGUCACAGUGUAAUGAUGCCGACUGGGCUAAUUCCGCAUUUUUUAAUCAUCCUUGCUUUGUUGUUACAUUUCCUAUACUGCAGAGUAUAGUUUGACAGAUGUAUUCAAUCACUAUCACAGCCCACGCAUGAAUUUCAGCAAUAUCUGUAUCGUAGUAACGGACGACAAUAGCCCUCUGCAAUCUUCUUCCAUUCUACUAUUUCACCUCUAUUCCAUUGAUUCGAAGUUCAUUCCAACAGAAACAGUCUCACGUUCGAAAAUGUUUCUAUGCAGCGCAACGGAUCACUCAGAGCCACUUUUUUCAGCCUUGGGACAAGUGAAAUUCAAACCGGACGAGACCUAACGACGAAGCCUAAGAAACGGGAAAAGAGGAAUUAUUUUGCGAACAAGAAUGAUUUUUUUUUUUUAAUUUCACAUCUUGUAAACUAUCCAAAUCUCACACACCUUAGGGUUUUAUUCUGUCAUAAGUUUACUACAAUUUACACACUGGACAUUUUACAAUUGCAUUUUGUGUGUAUAUUGGAGUAGGUCUUUCAUAGUAUAAAACCCCAAGCCAUGUGAUUUAUUCUCUAUCCGGAGAAAAAAAAGUUUAAAAGAUGUGAAAUUUUAAAAUUUUAAUCAUUGUUUGCUAAUGUCUAUGACACGAUUUCUAUCUAUAACGAAAACGAUCUGCCUCGUAUGGAGAUCGAAGUAAAAUGUUCUGUUACGAAGGCUUCGCGAUCUAGACAGCUUUUUUCUCUGCAUUUGAUCAACCUGAACGUAAAAUCAAGUUUUGGCAAAAUUAAGAAAAAAGUUUCCUAUCUUGGGAGUUUAAACUGGCUGUUAAGGAAGUUAGAUACGAUGCCGAAGCUUAUGUCAUGACAACGGGUAAAAAGAGCAAGUCGUCGGCUAAAAGAUUGCCUUGAAAUCUUAAGCCUUAUUGAAUAUUAGGUAUUGUGUUACAAUUGAAGAGCGUGUUAGAGCAACCAAAAAUGUGUGAUCGUUCGGAAGUCAUCUAUUUAAAGCGUUUUUACAAAUUGUCGAUACGAGACAAGCUUCACGCAUUCGCUGUAUUUCCCCGCGGAUUAAAUAUGGCCCCUUAUUUAUUUGAUCCAAGUCCACUAAUACCGUUGAUGGCUUCAUCAGUGUCUGUAUGAAGGAGUCGGUGGUGGAUACUGUACAAGAUUAUAAUCGUAGUCAAUCGACAGAGGAUAUUGAUGGAGGUCAGGUGUAAACAGUAACUGAAAUUCGUUGGAGGAGGGACCGAAGGUUUCCAGAUUCUUUUAUUUUCCCACGUGUUUUGGUAUUUUUACACA
This 2067-nucleotide long non-coding RNA is filed under the name Daphnia magna. RNAcentral's name for it is "uncharacterized LOC116929030". Lineage: Eukaryota; Metazoa; Arthropoda; Branchiopoda; Diplostraca; Daphniidae. The record is from RNAcentral.